GGAUGUGGCUCAAGCGGUAGCGCGCUUGCCUGGCAUGUGUGCGGCCUGAGUUUGAUCCUCAGCAGCACA
This 69-nucleotide transfer RNA is filed under the name Marmota monax (woodchuck). RNAcentral's name for it is "tRNA.Ala". Lineage: Eukaryota; Metazoa; Chordata; Mammalia; Rodentia; Sciuridae. The record is from RNAcentral.